GACAGAGGGUGCAAACGUUGCUCGGAAUCACUGGGCAUAAAGCGCACGUAGGCGGUCCACUAAGUCCGAUGUGAAAUCCCCCGGCUCAACCGGGGAACUGCAUCAGAUACUGGUGGACUCGAGAGUUGUAGGGGUGGACGGAACUCCAGGUGGAGCGGUGAAAUGCGUAGAUAUCUGGAGGAACACCGGAGGCGAAAGCGGUCCACUGGGCAACUUCUGACGCUGAGGUGCGAAAGCUAGGGUAGCAAACGGGAUUAGAAACCCCCGUAGUCC
This 273-nucleotide ribosomal RNA is filed under the name uncultured bacterium. Its description in RNAcentral is "partial 16S ribosomal RNA". It matches the Rfam family "Bacterial small subunit ribosomal RNA", at positions 524 to 796 of the family's 1533-position model. The record is from RNAcentral.